Molecule: long non-coding RNA, 809 nt
Filed under: Salvator merianae (Argentine black and white tegu)
Lineage: Eukaryota; Metazoa; Chordata; Lepidosauria; Squamata; Teiidae
Description: lncRNA (ENSSMRG00000018413.1)
Source: RNAcentral
CCUUCUCGCAGCUUGUGCAAAUUCCUGCUGUGCCUUCCCAGGAGGAAUGUUUGCAGUACCCAUCAAGAGCACUCGAGCAGAGAGGAACCCAAGGGGGAAACCAUCUUCCCGACACGCUACUGCACCUAAGCGAAGGCAGCGAAAAGACAGCCGUUCUACCAAAAUGGGGGAAAGGCUUCUUACGGGCAACAUGAAGUUGGCUACCAGGAGACCGGGCUGCUGAACAGGAUGGACCAUCAAGUUGCUUCAUAGAAAUUGACGAUCAUUCUGCUAGAGCUAGAACUGACAUUUCCACAAGGACUAUCUUUUGUCUGUGGGCUAUGAGGAAGGACUGGUUCCACAAGAAAACCCACUGCUGUUGAUGGAAGAAAGAGAGGUCAGCAAGAGUAGGUGUUUUGAUAUCAUCUCCCUUUUCCCUGUGCAAAUGCAUGCAUCCUUCCUCUCAUUACAACUGCAAGGCACAAAUGCCAAAAUGAUACCCUUUAUGAUGUGACACCUUCACAUGAGAGGACUCACCAUGGUUAUGAAGUUUCCUGGGUCACCUCUACGGUCAACUGAACUUACCUAUCAUCCUGAAGUAAAUUGCCUGCUGCUUACUUCCCCUGCUACCUAUAACAAAUAUCUCCUCUGUGAUUCUUCUUCUUCUGUUUGCCCAAGAGUCUAAGGCUGCAUCCAGACAUUGCUUACUUAUUCCACUAUAUUUGAAUAUAUCAAAAUAUCCAUGCAUUAUUCGGGAAUAUCCAACUGUAGCAGAUGCAGCCUUAGUCAGUAUGAAUUGUUCUUACCUUUCCCAAACACACUUCACCUCC